AGUGGCGCACGGGUGAGUAACACGUGGCUGAUCUACCGCGAAGCCGGGGAUAACUUUGGGAAACCAGGGCUAAUACCCGAUAAGCUCACGCCGUCUAGAAGGGUGUGAGAAAAGGUUAACCACUUCGCGAUGAGGCUGCGGUCCAUCAGCUAGAUGGUGAGGUAACGGCUCACCAUGGCGACGACGGAUAGGGGGCCUGAGAGGGUGACCCCCCACACUGGGACUGAGACACGGCCCAGACUUCUACGGAAGGCAGCAGUGAGGGAUAUUGCACAAUGGGCGCAAGCCUGAUGCAGCGACGCCGCGUGGGUGAUGGAGGUCUUCGGAUCGUAGAACCCUUUUCUGUGUGACGAGACAAGGACGGUAGCACAGGAAUAAGCCUCGGCUAACUACGUGCCAGCAGCCGCGGUAAAACGUAGGAGGCGAGCGUUAUCCGGAGUUACUGGGCGUAAAGCGCGAGUAGGUGGUUGAGCAGGUCGGGUGUGAAAGCUCCCAGGCUAAACCGGGAGAGGUCACUCGAAACCGCUGAACUAGAGGUCGGGAGAGGCACGUGGAAUUCCGGGUGUAGUGGUGAAAUGCGUAGAGAUCCGGAGGAACACCAGAGGCGAAGGCGGCGUGCUGGCCUGAAACUGACACUGAGACGCGAAAGCAUGGGGAGCAAACGGGAUUAGAGACCCCGGUAGUCCAUGCCGUAAACGAUGCACACUAGAUGUUG
This 715-nucleotide ribosomal RNA is filed under the name uncultured Anaerolineaceae bacterium. RNAcentral describes it as "bacterial SSU rRNA". It matches the Rfam family "Bacterial small subunit ribosomal RNA", at positions 94 to 825 of the family's 1533-position model. The record is from RNAcentral. Lineage: Bacteria; Bacillati; Chloroflexota; Anaerolineae; Anaerolineales; Anaerolineaceae.